AAAGAAGUAACGGCUCCUUUCCUCAAAGAAAGAAACAACCGCUGCGCAAGCCAUGAAUCUGCUCAUCCACAUCACUGACCAGCAGACGACUGUCAACAUCCGUGAUGGGAAGGGACAGACUCCUCUGAUGUUGGUGGUUCUGGGUGGACUCUCUCACCCUCUCUCUCUCCCUCUCUAU
Long non-coding RNA from Carassius auratus (goldfish), 178 nucleotides. RefSeq lists it as uncharacterized. NCBI's taxonomy places the organism in Eukaryota, Metazoa, Chordata, Actinopteri, Cypriniformes, Cyprinidae. The transcript has 3 exons. The record is from RefSeq and is a predicted model, not a curated record.